Molecule: small nucleolar RNA, 80 nt
Organism: Homo sapiens (human)
Lineage: Eukaryota; Metazoa; Chordata; Mammalia; Primates; Hominidae
Gene: SNORD1C
Product: small nucleolar RNA, C/D box 1C
Exons: 1
Source: RefSeq, marked validated
GCUGAGCUGAGGAUGAUUUAAAGUUAUCCCUGUCUGAAAUGGUAUCUUUUGUGAGGAGGUCUGACUUGCUGAGGCUCAGC